AAUGGGCGAAAGCCUGACGCAGCCAUGCCGCGUGUGUGAAGAAGGCCUUCGGGUUGUAAAGCACUUUCAAUUGGGAGGAAAGGUCCGUAGUUAAUAACUGCGAGCUGUGACGUUACCUUUAGAAGAAGCACCGGCUAACUCCGUGCCAGCAGCCGCGGUAAUACGGAGGGUGCGAGCGUUAAUCGGAAUUACUGGGCGUAAAGCGCGCGUAGGCGGUUUGUUAAGUCGGAUGUGAAAGCCCCGGGCUCAACCUGGGAAUUGCACCCGAUACUGGCCGACUGGAGUGCGAGAGAGGGAGGUAGAAUUCCACGUGUAGCGGUGAAAUGCGUAGAUAUGUGGAGGAAUACCGGUGGCGAAGGCGGCCUCCUGGCUCGACACUGACGCUGAGGUGCGAAAGCGUGGGGAGCAAACAGGAUU
RNAcentral lists this ribosomal RNA (417 nucleotides) under uncultured Gammaproteobacteria bacterium. RNAcentral's name for it is "bacterial SSU rRNA". It matches the Rfam family "Bacterial small subunit ribosomal RNA", at positions 370 to 779 of the family's 1533-position model. Lineage: Bacteria; Pseudomonadati; Pseudomonadota; Gammaproteobacteria. The record is from RNAcentral.